AGUGAACGCUGGCGGUAGGCCUAACACAUGCAAGUCGAACGGCAGCACAGUAGGAGCUUGCUCUUACGGGUGGUGAGUGGCGGACGGGUGAGGAAUACAUCGGAAUCUACUUUUUCGUGGGGGAUAACGUAGGGAAACUUACGCUAAUACCGCAUACGACCUACGGGUGAAAGCAGGGGAUCUUCGGACCUUGCGCGAUUGAAUGAGCCGAUGUCGGAUUAGCUAGUUGGCGGGGUAAAGGCCCACCAAGGCGACGAUCCGUAGCUGGUCUGAGAGGAUGAUCAGCCACACUGGAACUGAGACACGGUCCAGACUCCUACGGGAGGCAGCAGUGGGGAAUAUUGGACAAUGGGCGCAAGCCUGAUCCAGCCAUACCGCGUGGGUGAAGAAGGCCUUCGGGUUGUAAAGCCCUUUUGUUGGGAAAGAAAAGCAGCAGGUUAAUACCCCGCUGUUCUGACGGUACCCAAAGAAUAAGCACCGGCUAACUUCGUG
RNAcentral lists this ribosomal RNA (492 nucleotides) under uncultured bacterium. Its description in RNAcentral is "partial 16S ribosomal RNA". It matches the Rfam family "Bacterial small subunit ribosomal RNA", at positions 29 to 507 of the family's 1533-position model. The record is from RNAcentral.